Non-coding RNA from Marmota flaviventris (yellow-bellied marmot), 1265 nucleotides. The record is from RefSeq and is a predicted model, not a curated record. Lineage: Eukaryota; Metazoa; Chordata; Mammalia; Rodentia; Sciuridae.
ACUUUAGAUGGAAAUAAAGGGUAGCAUUUUCAAGAAAAUGAGAAUGAAUAAAUCAUCCCUGGUUUUCAAAAGAGAGACCAUAUUAAACUUACAUAAGUGAAGACGGCAUCCCCCUGCCUUCAGUGCCAGCAGUUUUUCUGUUCUGUGAUCAGUGUGAUUCACAGGAGCUUCUUAAGUAACAAACGAAAUGAGCCCAGGGCAUGGAAAAUAUGAUUUCUAUAUUGGUUUGGGAUUGGCUAUGACCUCCAGCAUUUUCAUAGGAGGGAGUUUCAUUUUGAAAAAAAAAAAAAAGGCCUUCUGCGACUUGCCAGAAAAGGACCCAUGAGAGCAGGUCAAGGUGGCCAUGCAUAUCUUAAAGAAUGGUUGUGGUGGGCUGGACUACUGUCAAUGGGGGCAGGCGAGGUGGCCAACUUCGCUGCAGAUGCCUUUGCACCAGCCACGCUAGUGACUCCACUGGGAGCUCUCAGUAUCCUUGUAAGUGCCAUUCUUUCUUCAUACUCUCUAAAUGAAAGACUUAAUCUUCAUGGGAAAAUUGGAUGUUUGCUAAGCAUUCUAGUAUCUGCAGUUAUGGUCAUCCAUGCUCCAAAGGAAGAGGAGAUUAAGAGACGUUAAUUGAAAUGUCACACAAGUUAGGUGAUCCAGGUUUUGUGCUAUUUGCAACAAUUGUGGUCAUUGUGUCCUUGAUAUUAAUCUUUGUGGUGGGACCUCGCCACGCACAGACAAAUACUCUUGUGUACAUAACAAUCUGUUCUGUGAUUGGAGCGUUUUCAGUGUCCUGUGCAAAGGGCAUGGGCAUCACCAUCAAAGAACUAUUAGCUGGAAAGCCUGUGCUGUGGCAUCCCCUGGCCUGGAUUCUGCUGCUGAGCCUCGUCACCUGUGUGAGCACACAGAUCAAUUACCUAAACUGGGCCCUGGACAUAUUCAACACUUCCCUUGUAACACCAAUAUAUUACGUUUUCUUUACAACCUCAGUUUUAACUUGUUCAGCUAUUCUUUUUAAGGAGUGGCAAGAUAUGCCUGCUGAUGAUAUCAUUGGGACUCUGAGUGGCUUCUUCACAAUCAUGUGGGGAUAUUCUUGUUGCAUGCCUUUAAAGAUGUCAGCUUUAGUCUAGCAAGUCUGCCUGUGUCUUUUCGAAAAGAUGAUAAAGCAAUGAAUGGCAAUCUCCCUACUAUGUAAUAAUAAUGAAGAAAGCUUAUCCUGUGGAAUUGAACAACACAGUGGUGAGAAUACCUCAUGGAGAAAUGGAAAUCUGACAGGUUUUUAA